UCACAUGGUCAAUUCUUUCCCUUUGCAGCACCUGCUGUUUCAGAAGCAAAUUUCAGUUCCUGAAAAACAUCGUCAUUCCUUGAGUGGAUGAGGCAGGACAAGGAGCAGACCUUUUCCCCUUCUUGCAAACCAUCACUGAGCUCAGCUGUGAAGAUUCUGCAUUUGUUGGAUGCCUUGGGAAACAUUAGCCUUUGUGCAGAGAACAUUCACCUGAAGGCAAAAGACCAGAGCCAAGAGGGGUAUCUUAAACCCAGCAGCUGCAGUUCUGAAAUCUGAUUCAUCUCUCUUCUGAAGAGGAUAUCAGUGAGGAAUAGCCUGAAAGAAGAGGUGCGGACCAGAAGGAUUGAUCAGGGAUCGUAAUGGACAUCCAAACAUUUCCUUUGCUCCAGACGCCGUGUACCUUGUACCAAGCUGCCUUCCAACCUGCAAUUACCUGUCAUGUCUAGCCCAGCAUUCUCCGGAAAGCAGGCCUCGUGUGAGCUCAGAAGAUGGCAGCAGUUGCCAGAGAUGGAUGUGGGGCUGAGAAGAAGCAAUGUAGCAAAGGAGGCUGGCGUCUUGGACCACAGCGUUACUGAAAUGAAAAGGCGUGAACGCGGCAGGAAUUUCUGCUGUAUGGAAAAAUGUUAUUGUUGGAUUCCUUCAGGAAGGCGUGCAUAUGAAAAUCCUGGUUCCCUGGUGAGUGACUAGUGACUAAGACCUGCAGAACUCUCAUCUUAAUUUUUGAUUGUGGUGGAUGAUGUCAUAGUUGGAAAUAAAUUUACAUUUCAGCUAUGA
This is a long non-coding RNA of Alligator mississippiensis (American alligator), 774 nucleotides long. RefSeq lists it as uncharacterized. Lineage: Eukaryota; Metazoa; Chordata; Crocodylia; Alligatoridae. The transcript is spliced from 4 exons. The record is from RefSeq and is a predicted model, not a curated record.